Molecule: ribosomal RNA, 730 nt
Filed under: uncultured marine eukaryote
Lineage: Eukaryota
Description: SSU rRNA
Rfam family: Eukaryotic small subunit ribosomal RNA
Source: RNAcentral
UUGACACAGGGAGGUAGUGACAAGAAAUAACGAUACAGGGCUACAUCUAGUCUUGUAAUUGGAAUGAGUACAAUUUACAUCUCUUAACGAUGAUCAAUUGGAGGGCAAGUCUGGUGCCAGCAGCCGCGGUAAUUCCAGCUCCAAUAGCGUAUAUUAAAGUUGUUGCAGUUAGAACGCUCGUAGUCGGAUUUCGGGGCAGUCCGACCGGUCUGCCGAUGGGUAUGCACUGGCCGGAGUGUCCUUUUUGCCGGAGACCGUGCCUACUCUUAACUGAGCGGGGGCGAGAGACGGCACUUUUACUUUGAAAAAAUCAGAGUGUUUCAAGCAGGCAGCUCGCUCUUGCAUGGAUUAGCAUGGGAUAAUGAAAUAGGACUUUGGUGCUAUUUUGUUGGUUUCGAACACCGAAGUAAUGAUGAGAAGGGACAGUCAGGGGCACUCGUAUUCCGCAGAGAGAGGUGAAAUUCUCAGACCCGCGGAAGACGAACCACUGCGAAAGCAUUUGCCAGGGAUGUUUUCACUGAUCAAGAACGAAAGUUAGGGGAUCGAAGAUGAUCAGAUACCGUCGUAGUCUUAACCAUAAACCAUGCCGACUAGGGAUUGGAGGAUGUUCACUGAUUGACUCCUUCAGCACCUUACGGGAAACUAAAGUCUUUGGGUUCCGGGGGGAGUAUGGUCGCAAGGCCGAAACUUAAAGGAAUUGACGGAAGGGCACCACCAGGUGUGGAGCCUG